AGCAGCCGCGGUAAUUCCAGCUCCAAUAGCGUAUAUUAAAGUUGUUGCAGUUAAAAGCUCGUAGUUGAAUUUCGGGGUCAGUAGGUUGGUCAUGCCACUGGUAUGUACUGGUCUCACUGAUUCCUCCUUCCUGAUGAACUGUAAUGCCAUUAAUUUGGUGUUGCAGGGAAUCUGGACUGUUACUUUGAAAAAUUAGAGUGUUUAAAGCAGGCUAACGCCUGAAUACAUUAGCAUGGAAUAAUGAAAUAGGACGUUCGAUCCUAUUUUGUUGGUUUCUAGGAUUGACGUAAUGAUUAAUAGGGAUAGUUGGGGGCAUUAGUAUUCAAUUGUCAGAGGUGAAAUUCUUGGAUUUAUUGAAGACUAACUACUGCGAAAGCAUUUGCCAAGGAUGUUUUCAUUAAUCAAGAACGAAAGUUAGGGGAUCGAAGACGAUCAGAUACCGUCGUAGUCUUAACCAUAAACUAUGCCGACUAGGGAUCGGAUGAUGUUAAUUUUUUAAUGACUCAUUCGGCGCCUUACGGGAAACCAAAGUGUUU
Molecule: ribosomal RNA, 536 nt
Filed under: uncultured Glomeromycotina
Lineage: Eukaryota; Fungi; Glomeromycota
Description: SSU rRNA
Rfam family: Eukaryotic small subunit ribosomal RNA
Source: RNAcentral